This 810-nucleotide ribosomal RNA is filed under the name bacterium. RNAcentral describes it as "bacterial SSU rRNA". It matches the Rfam family "Bacterial small subunit ribosomal RNA", at positions 35 to 859 of the family's 1533-position model. The record is from RNAcentral.
GCUGGCGGCGUGCUUAACACAUGCAAGUCGAACGAUGAACCACUUCGGUGGGGAUUAGUGGCGAACGGGUGAGUAACACGUGGGCAAUCUGCCCUGCACUCUGGGACAAGCCCUGGAAACGGGGUCUAAUACCGGAUAUUGACCUUCACGGGCAUCUGUGAGGUUCGAAAGCUCCGGCGGUGCAGGAUGAGCCCGCGGCCUAUCAGCUUGUUGGUGAGGUAAUGGCUCACCAAGGCGACGACGGGUAGCCGGCCUGAGAGGGCGACCGGCCACACUGGGACUGAGACACGGCCCAGACUCCUACGGGAGGCAGCAGUGGGGAAUAUUGCACAAUGGGCGAAAGCCUGAUGCAGCGACGCCGCGUGAGGGAUGACGGCCUUCGGGUUGUAAACCUCUUUCAGCAGGGAAGAAGCGAAAGUGACGGUACCUGCAGAAGAAGCGCCGGCUAACUACGUGCCAGCAGCCGCGGUAAUACGUAGGGCGCAAGCGUUGUCCGGAAUUAUUGGGCGUAAAGAGCUCGUAGGCGGCUUGUCACGUCGGUUGUGAAAGCCCGGGGCUUAACCCCGGGUCUGCAGUCGAUACGGGCAGGCUAGAGUUCGGUAGGGGAGAUCGGAAUUCCUGGUGUAGCGGUGAAAUGCGCAGAUAUCAGGAGGAACACCGGUGGCGAAGGCGGAUCUCUGGGCCGAUACUGACGCUGAGGAGCGAAAGCGUGGGGAGCGAACAGGAUUAGAUACCCUGGUAGUCCACGCCGUAAACGGUGGGCACUAGGUGUGGGCAACAUUCCACGUUGUCCGUGCCGCAGCUAACGCA